Molecule: transfer RNA, 72 nt
Filed under: Candidatus Pelagibacterales bacterium
Lineage: Bacteria; Pseudomonadati; Pseudomonadota; Alphaproteobacteria; Candidatus Pelagibacterales
Description: tRNA-Phe
Rfam family: tRNA
About the family: Transfer RNA (tRNA) molecules are approximately 80 nucleotides in length. Their secondary structure includes four short double-helical elements and three loops (D, anti-codon, and T loops).
Source: RNAcentral
GCCUCGGUAGCUCAGGAGUAGAGCAGGAGACUGAAAAUCUCUGUGUCGGAGGUGCGAAUCCUUCCCGAGGCA